UGCAUUCACUACUGUAAGUUGAUCUGGAUAAGAGCGUCUGCUAAAUGACUAAAA
Salmo salar (Atlantic salmon) is the source of this 54-nucleotide non-coding RNA. Lineage: Eukaryota; Metazoa; Chordata; Actinopteri; Salmoniformes; Salmonidae. The record is from Rfam.